AUGCUCGGGACGGCCAACGUCUCCGACAUAUUCCCGCCGAUCGCCGCGCUCGACCUCCAGGGCCUGCGCCGCAGGAUGACGAACCUCUUCGCCAUCAUGUACCGCCACUUCGACGAUCAGGUGGCUCUACGGCGGCGUAGCCGGGAAGCCGGAGAGGCGCCCAAGAAGGACGUGUUGGACACGGUCCUCGAUAAGGACGGCGAAUGGAAGCAGGAGGGGUCUCAGCUAAGCCAUGAUGUCAUGAGAGCACUCCUCUCUGAUUUGUACGGCGCUGGAGCGAGCACGACAGCGGCUCUCAUCGAGUGGGGAAUGGUGGAUCUGCUUCAGAACCCAGAGGUGAUGCGCAAGGUCAAGGAGGAGCUCGCUACGGUUCUUGGCGACAAACCGCUCAUGGAAGAAUCCGACAUUGCCCGGCUCCCAUACCUCCAAGUCGUCGUCAAAGAGAUCCUUCGUCUGCGGAUGGUGGUGCCGCUAGUACCUCGCAAAGCGGAGGCUGACAUCGAGGUGAAUGGUUACAGGAUCCCUAAAGGCACCAACGUGAUCCUCAACGCAUGGGCGAUUAACCGGAGCGUCGACGCAUGGUCGGAUCCGGAUAAGUUCGUCCCAGAGAGGUUCAUCGGCGGCGAGACCAAGAACUUCCAGCUGGGGCAGGAUUUUGACAUGAUCCCAUUCGGUCUUGGCCGACGCAUCUGCCCCGGGAUGCCGCUUGCACAGAAGCUGAUACCCCUGAUACUUGGCACGCUUCUCCAUCGGUUCGAGUGGGAGCUUCCGGCGGAGGUCAAGGAGGCUGGGAUAGACAUGACAGAGAAGUGUGGGGUGGUGUUAUCUCUAGUCACCCCCCUUACAGCCAUACCCAGGGAAAUAUGA
This 867-nucleotide ribosomal RNA is filed under the name Triticum aestivum (bread wheat). RNAcentral describes it as "partial small subunit ribosomal RNA". The record is from RNAcentral. Lineage: Eukaryota; Viridiplantae; Streptophyta; Magnoliopsida; Poales; Poaceae.